UUGAUCCUGGCUCAGAACGANCCGCUGGCGGCGUGCUUAACACAUGCAAGUCGAACGCGAAAGAGUUCUUCGGAACUUGAGUAGAGUGGCGCACGGGUGAGUAACGCGUAAGUAACCUACCCUCGCAUUUGGGAUAACCCACCGAAAGGUGUGCUAAUACCGGAUACGUCUCAUUUAAUAUCUUUUAAUGAGAGAAAGGUGGCCUCUGAUGGAAGCUACUGUGCGGGGAGGGGCUUGCGUACCAUUAGCUAGUUGGUAGGGUAAGGGCCUACCAAGGCGAUGAUGGUUAGCGGGUCUGAGAGGAUGAUCCGCCACACUGGAACUGGAACACGGACCAGACUCCUACGGGAGGCAGCAGUGAGGAAUAUUGCGCAAUGGGGGCAACCCUGACGCAGCGACGCCGCGUGGAUGAUGAAGGCCUUCGGGUUGUAAAAUCCUGUCAGAUGGGAAGAAGUGGUAAAUGAUUAAUAACCAUUAUACUUUGACGGUACCAUCAAAAGGAAGCACCGGCUAACUCCGUGCCAGCAGCCGCAGNGUAAUACGGAGAGGUAGCGAGCGUUGUUCGGAAUUACUGGGCGUAAAGCGCGCGUANGCGGAUGUAUAAGUCAGAUGUGAA
This 616-nucleotide ribosomal RNA is filed under the name uncultured bacterium. Its description in RNAcentral is "bacterial SSU rRNA". It matches the Rfam family "Bacterial small subunit ribosomal RNA", at positions 13 to 598 of the family's 1533-position model. The record is from RNAcentral.